Molecule: unclassified non-coding RNA, 2221 nt
Filed under: uncultured fungus
Lineage: Eukaryota; Fungi
Description: sequence contains 18S rRNA gene, ITS1, 5.8S rRNA gene, ITS2, 28S rRNA gene
Rfam family: Eukaryotic large subunit ribosomal RNA (bases 1243-2221)
Source: RNAcentral
GGAAGGAUCAUUACUGAAGGAACGGGGGACCCUCUUGUAGUAGACCAUUCAAGGCCUGCCAUCAGAAUUUGACGAUAAUCAACUCGGCUCGUUGCCCAACCAUCAGGGAGUGAUUCUCAUCACAUUAGCACCUGGUUUGGGCAAUGCGUGCAUUGGCGCCUCUUGAUCUUGGUGCUCAUUGCCAAGGAUGUGAUUUGAAUCUUUGUCACUUCACUGUCCAUACACGGCGGGCCUGGUUCGCAAUCGGGUGCCCUUUUCAAGAGGUCGAAGUUGGUUGGAUGUCGGAUGGCGUUGCGCGGGCCUUUGGUCUCCUAUGUUAACACAAAACCUGUCGUCGCAUGGUGUUGCACUUAAACAUGUAAUAUAACUUUCAACAACGGAUCUCUUGGCUCUCGCAUCGAUGAAGAACGCAGCGAAAUGCGAUAAGUAAUGUGAAUUGCAGAAUUCAGUGAAUCAUCGAAUCUUUGAACGCACCUUGCGCUCCUUGGCAUUCCGAGGAGCAUGCCUGUUUGAGCGUCGUCGAAUUCUCAGGAUCCUAUCAUAACCAGCCUUUCUUGAAGGAAGGGGACAUAGCUCUACACCAUUGGGUGUGGGCGCCAGCAGAGGACCGGACCCCCCCCCCGCCUUUGGUCUACUUCCUUGAAAGAUUGGCGACAGAGGUAGUGACUGGCACAAACAAGUUUUUGGCCAAGAUUCAUUCUUGAGAGAAGGGGAGGCAGUUAAGCCACUUUCAGGUGCUUGCCGGUUAGGCGGUGCGCUGUUUGGGCCGAGCUUCGCUCGACCACCCUUGCUGCCAGGCCGGCGGCCCCCUUCCUCAAGGAUUGGGGGAGCAAAGUGGGCACAAAACUUGUUUGGCCAAGAAGCCAGCUGCCAGAUUACAUGCUGGUGGAUGGUGGGGCUGGUCUACUACUUCCGAUCAGGUGGGAUGUGUGGAUUGUGGAUUGUGGAGGAUGCACUGUGCACUCACUCACUGCCUUUGCUUCUCUGAAAUGGAUUGCCUGUCUGUCUGGGUUGUGGAGGAUGUCAUUGCUCGGUUCUCUGAUAUGCCAUGCCCUGAGGGGUCUGGGUUGAGGAGGCGCUUCUCUGAUAUGCCAUGCCCUUAGGGGUCUGGGUUGAGGAGGAUGACGUUGCUCGCUUCUCUGAAAUGCAGUGCCAUUAAGGGCUCUGGUCACGAACCUGUUGCCGGCAUGAUACACACGUCUUGCCCGCUUCUAACCCGUGCCAGCCAAGUCUCAAACGAUUUGACCUCAAAUCAGGCAGGACUACCCGCUGAACUUAAGCAUAUCAAUAAGCGGAGGAAAAGAAACUAACAAGGAUUCCCCUAGUAACUGCGAGUGAAGCGGGAAGAGCUCAAAUUUAAAAUCUGGCGGCCCCCGGCCGUCCGAGUUGUAAGCUAGAGAAGCGCCGUCCGCGCUGGGGCCGUGUACAAGUCUCCUGGAACGGAGCGUCGUGGAGGGUGAGAACCCCGUCUCUGACACGGACCUCCCAGGGCAUCGCGAGGGCGCCCUCAAAGAGUCGAGUUGUUUGGGAAUGCAGCUCCAAAUGGGUGGUAAACUCCAUCUAAAGCUAAACAUUGGCGAGAGACCGAUAGCGAACAAGUACCGUGAGGGAAAGAUGAAAAGAACUUUGGAAAGAGAGUUAAACAGUACGUGAAAUUGUUGAAAGGGAAACGCUUGAAGUCAGACGCGUCGGCCUGGGAUCAGCCCCGCAUCCGCGAGGCGCACUCCCCGGUCGACGGGUCAGCACCAGUUUCGACCGUUGGAGAAGGGUCGGGGGAAUGUGGCAUCCUCGGAUGAGCUUACAGCCCCCUAUCGCAUGCAUCGGUCGGGAUUGAGGAACUCGGCGCGCCGCAAGGCCGGGUCUUCGGACCACGCCCGCGCCCAGGAUGCUGGCACAAUGGCUUUAAUCGACCCGUCUUGAAACACGGACCAAGGAGUCUAACGUGCCUGCGAGUGUUUGGGUGGAAAACCCACGCGCGCAAUGAAAGUGAAAGUUGAGAUCCCCGUCGUGGGGAGCAUCGACGCCCGGACCAGACCUGCUGUGACGGAUCCGCGGUGGAGCAUGCACGUUGGGACCCGAAAGAUGGUGAACUAUGCCUGAAUAGGGCGAAGCCAGAGGAAACUCUGGUGGAGGCUCGUAGCGAUUCUGACGUGCAAAUCGAUCGUCGAAUUUGGGUAUAGGGGCGAAAGACUAAUCGAACCAUCUAGUAGCUGGUUCCUGC